GCUUAACACAUGCAAGUCGAGGGGCAGCAUUAUCGAAGCUUGCUUUGAUAGAUGGCGACCGGCGCACGGGUGAGUAACGCGUAUCCAACCUUCCCCUUAGUAGGGCACAGCCCGGCGAAAGUCGGAUUAAUUCCCUAUGUUGUUUGAUGCUGACAUCAAAGUCAAACCAAAGAUUCAUCGCUAAGGGAUGGGGAUGCGUCUGAUUAGAUAGUAGGCGGGGUAACGGCCCACCUAGUCAACGAUCAGUAGGGGUUCUGAGAGGAAGGUCCCCCACAUUGGAACUGAGACACGGUCCAAACUCCUACGGGAGGCAGCAGUGAGGAAUAUUGGUCAAUGGGCGAGAGCCUGAACCAGCCAAGUAGCGUGCAGGACGACGGCCCUAUGGGUUGUAAACUGCUUUUAUACGGGGAUAAAGUGGGCCAUGCAUGGCCUUUUGCAUGUACCGUAUGAAUAAGGACCGGCUAAUUCCGUGCCAGCAGCCGCGGUAAUACGGAAGGUCCGGGCGUUAUCCGGAUUUAUUGGGUUUAAAGGGAGCGCAGGCGGACAGUUAAGCGUGACGUGAAAUG
RNAcentral lists this ribosomal RNA (566 nucleotides) under uncultured rumen bacterium. RNAcentral describes it as "bacterial SSU rRNA". It matches the Rfam family "Bacterial small subunit ribosomal RNA", at positions 46 to 601 of the family's 1533-position model. The record is from RNAcentral.